Molecule: long non-coding RNA, 926 nt
Filed under: Cercocebus atys (sooty mangabey)
Lineage: Eukaryota; Metazoa; Chordata; Mammalia; Primates; Cercopithecidae
Description: lncRNA (ENSCATG00000045887.1)
Source: RNAcentral
CCUCUCUGCAAGGAAAGUGCUAUGUGUUGUUUUUUCCAGCAGUGGAAAUACAAAUGAUUCACUCUGGAAACCAUGGCUGUUUCACUGAUAACUAAUUUGUUUGCUGAUAAAUGAUUACCCAGGAGCCAGAAUAGAGACCCAGAAGUCAAACUGCAAAAAUUAUUAAGUUCCCUCUGUAUGCAGAAUAUUGUGCAACAUGGUUACGGGUACUACGAUGGAUGUGAGUGUGUAGACCUUGUACAAUAGAGCUUAUAGGCUAAUGGAAGACAGGAAGAAACAACAGGACCACAUAAAACUGGAAUGCAGAUGGGAUCUGUGCUACUUACACUAGCCAUGGGAUGAUUAGAACAAGAUAAGAGACGUGAGGAAGACUUCUUGAAGGAGGUGCUCAAGCCAUAUUUUGGAAAAGAGAACUCAAGCUCUGGCAGGGAGAAAGGAGCAAGGUGAACCGGAAUGGAACCCACUGAUCAGCUUGUCUACGUUUCUGUAGACUAAGAUUUGUACCUGCAACUGUCUCAUGCUAAAUGAGCAGACUUUGAGUCUUUGCUUCAGAUGCAGAACAAGAUGUGGCAACCUGUUGUGGAGAACCGGGUCCUUUGUGCUCAUGCUGUCUCUUUUUUCUGGUGGCUUUGUCAUUUGGAAUAAUGCAUAGUGGGCUGUAGGCUGAGAAACUGUCAGCUGAGGUAGGAGUGUCACCUAAGAGUGGGAAAGGGUGUCUAAACGCUGAAUGGAGCAUUUUAAAAGUUAGAAUUUGCUAUUUUCUUUUCUCUUAUCUUUUUUUUUUUUUUUUUAGAAAUGGAGUCUUGCUUUGUUACCCAGGCUGCAGUACAGUGGCACCAUCAUGGCUCUCUGCAGCCUUGGCCUCCUGGGCUCAAGUAAUUCUCCUACUUCAGCCUCCCAAGUAGCUGGGAAUACAGGUAUGUGCC